Molecule: non-coding RNA, 1486 nt
Filed under: Daphnia pulex (common water flea)
Lineage: Eukaryota; Metazoa; Arthropoda; Branchiopoda; Diplostraca; Daphniidae
Description: Eukaryotic small subunit ribosomal RNA
Rfam family: Eukaryotic small subunit ribosomal RNA
Source: Rfam by way of RNAcentral
UACCUGGUUGAUCCUGCCAGUAGCAUAUGCUUGUCUCAAAGAUUAAGCCAUGCAUGUCUAAGUACAAGCCGCUAGACGGCGAAACCGCGAAUGGCUCAAUAAAUCAGUUAUGGUUCCUUAGAUCCACUCCAUCCUACUUGGAUAACUGUGGUAAUUCUAGAGCUAAUACAUGCACUCGAGCCUCGACUGCGGGCUUUCGGGCUCGCAGAAGAGGUGCUUUUAUUAGAUCAAAACCAGUCGGGGCCGGGCUUUCGGGCUCGCGCACCGUACCAAUUUUGGUGACUCUGGAUAACUUCACGCCGAUCGCACGGCCUUCGCGCCGGCGACGUAUCUUUCAAAUGUCUGCCUUAUCAACUGUCGAUGGUAGGUUACGCGCCUACCAUGGUUGCAACGGGUAACGGGGAAUCGGGGUUCGAUUCCGGAGAGGGAGCCUGAGAAACGGCUACCACAUCCAAGGAAGGCAGCAGGCGCGCAAAUUACCCACUCCCGGCACGGGGAGGUAGUGACGAAAAAUAACGAUACGGGACUCUUCCGAGGCCCCGUGAUUGGAAUGAGUACACUUUAAAUCCUUUAACGAGGAACCAUUGGAGGGCAAGUCUGGUGCCAGCAGCCGCGGUAACUCCAGCUCCAAUAGCGUAUAUUAAAGUUGUUGCGGUUAAAAGCUCGUAGUCGGAUGUCUGUCUUCGGCCGGGCGGCGCCGCUCUGAAUCAAGGGUGUUGCGUUUCACGCUCUGGGAGCCCGGGUGUCAAAGCCCGACUCUCUUCACGGUCGGACAACAUCGCCGGAGUGGUGGUCGGUGCGUCGUUGUUGUAUCUGCGGCCAGAGUUGGAAAGUUCUUUCGGGUUCUUUUUUAAUUUUGGUCGUAGUUGACUCGAUUCGCUCCACCCAGUCAAUCGUUCGGGGUGCCCUUCACCGGGUGUCUCGGGCGGCCGGCAACGUUUACUUUGAACAAAUUAGAGUGCUCAAAGCAGGUGUAUCCCAACGCCUGAAUAUCGCAGCAUGGAAUGAUGGAAUAGGACCUCGGUCCGAUUUUGCUGGUCUUUUACUUUUGGACCCGAGGUAAUGGUCAAUAGAGACGGACGGGGGCAUUCGUACUGCGGCGACAGAGGUGAAAUUCUUGGACCGCCGCAAGACGAACAACAGCGAAGGCAUUUGCCAAGAAUGUUUUCCUUGAUCAAGAACGAAAGUUAGAGGUUCGAAGGCGAUCAGAUACCGCCCUAGUUCUAACCAUAAACGAUGCCAACCAGCAAUCCGUCGGAGUUACUCCAAUGACUCGACGGGCAGCUUCCGGGAAACCAAAGUCUUUGGGUUCCGGGGGAAGUAUGGUUGCAAAGCUGAAACUUAAAGGAAUUGACGGAAGGGCACCACCAGGAGUGGAGCCUGCGGCUUAAUUUGACUCAACACGGGAAACCUCACCAGGCCCGGACACUGGAAGGAUUGACAGAUUGAGAGCUCUUUCUUGAUUCGGUGGGUGGUGGUGCAUGGC